ACAAGGAGGCGAUGCGAGUGAGUCAUUCAUCGAGGGUCUUAGAAAUUUUUGCAUCAAUUCCAUUCCUCAAGCUAAUGUUGAAGAGCAUAUAGAGAACAUGAGAUGGGUCCCAUAUCUUAAUGAGCCGAAUCAAAUGGAAAAUCGAUACAAUUUUAUUUAUAAAAAAAAGAUAAAGAAAUUCUAGUUAUAUAGAUAUAUGUUGAUGAUAUUAUAUUUGGGUCUACUAAUAAAGAUUUGUGCCAAAAAUUUAUCAAGCUUAUGCAGG
RNAcentral lists this long non-coding RNA (265 nucleotides) under Elaeis guineensis (African oil palm). RNAcentral describes it as "long non-coding RNA (EGUI_LNC079638)". The record is from RNAcentral. Lineage: Eukaryota; Viridiplantae; Streptophyta; Magnoliopsida; Arecales; Arecaceae.